UACAGAGGGUGCAAGCGUUAAUCGGAAUUACUGGGCGUAAAGCGUGCGUAGACGGUUAUGUAAGUCGGGUGUGAAAGCCCCGGGCUCAACCUGGGAAUGCCAUCCGAGACUGCAUAGCUAGGGUGCGGAAGAGGGAAGCGGAAUUUCCGGUGUAGCGGUGAAAUGCGUAGAUAUCGGAAGGAACACCAGUGGCGAAAGCGGCUUCCUGGUCCAGCACCGACGUUCAGGCACGAAAGCGUGGGGAGCAAACAGG
This 253-nucleotide ribosomal RNA is filed under the name uncultured bacterium. Its description in RNAcentral is "partial 16S ribosomal RNA". It matches the Rfam family "Bacterial small subunit ribosomal RNA", at positions 524 to 776 of the family's 1533-position model. The record is from RNAcentral.